RNA transcript from Triticum aestivum (bread wheat), 2035 nucleotides. RefSeq lists it as uncharacterized. The record is from RefSeq and is a predicted model, not a curated record. The transcript is spliced from 3 exons. Lineage: Eukaryota; Viridiplantae; Streptophyta; Magnoliopsida; Poales; Poaceae.
GCCCCCGCGCCUUGCCCCACCCCGCUGGCCCCGCGCGCCACCCCACCCCGUCGGCCCGUGCGCCGCCAAACCCCGCUGCCUACGGCCCAGCCCUUCGAUCCCCACCCCUGGGAAACGCCGGCUUCUCCCACUGCAUCUUGCUCCCCCACGAGCUGCAGGUCCCGGUGGCUCGUUCCGCCGCACUGCGUCCAGGCAUUCCAACCCUGCCGCCCUAGGCCGUUCGCCGCUGUUGUGCUCACGCUGGUUGUGCCGCGCCUCCAGCUCCCAUGUGUGGCCCCUGCUGAGUGCACGUCAUGUAUUUGCUAAAAUGUCUCAGUGCACUGGACUACUAGUUUUCUUGUGUUCAUGUGCAUUUGUAGCUCCCUUCUUGCUUGCUAAUUGCUAUAGCUUACAAUACUUAGAGCAUUUUUCGUGUGUGAUCUGUAAUUUAGGUGCUAACCAAAGAAUAGGCAAGGUUAUUCAGAUAGAGGAUCUUAACUAAUCAUGUUAAUGGUUGGUCUUGCUCCCUGUGCAUUUUCACUCACUGAGGGCGACUACUCCAGAAAAAAAAGCCAUGGGAACGUGCUGCCCUCAGUCCUCUCUCGACAAAUCCAGCAGUGCAGGAAGGCACACCAUUGUUCUCGUGCAACCAUCUCCAAACAAAACGUCCAAAACUUUUAUGGACUUCAGUUCACUCAACCAAGCCCUGGAUGGUUAGUGUUCUCUCUUGCAUGCUGCUUGAAAUAUUAAUGCAAUUUUACUUUGCUAUCUGAUUGUGCAUGUGUUGUCGAAAAUGAGGUUAUCAUGGGAUUCUGAACAUAUGAUAGUAUUGUUUUGCAUAUGUAUUAUAGUUCAUUAGUUCAUCUAUUCCUUGCUUCAGUUCUAUGCACAUAGUCAUCAGCCAUCAUCACCUAGUACCACUUGGACUGAACAUUCAGGAAUUCAAUUUAUAAUGUUGUUUACUGUCCUAAUUUUUCGGUACCAGUAACCUUCCUAUAUACAUAUGCAGCUUUUCCGGUUCACCUUGUAUAUGGUUUUUCAGUUCACCUUGUAUAUGCCUUUUCAGUUCAUCGUACAUGUUUCAAAAGGAGCUCCCUUAGUUUCAGUAGAUGCGGAGAUGGGUAAAAUCUAAAGUUCAACUUUUCUGAUGGGGUACUUCAUAAAGCAAAGAAAAAAGAAAAGCAGAGCAAAAGUGAAAAAAAAGAAAAAGAAAACCAAAGUUGUUUUGAGAAGAAAAUGCCUAUUGUCCAGUAAUACAUUCUCUCGUUAGUCUAUGGUUAUUUGUUCAUGAGAACGAAAAAACAGUGUACAAUACAUAUUACGUGCGCUGUUCACAUAUUAUGGUUAUUUGUUCGUUAGCCGCGUGCAGGAAGUUCAACGGCACAAUCCCCGGCCGUUCAGUCUCGCUGCUGUGGGCGUGCCCCGCUCCAACUCCAUCGCCUCUGCUUCACUGGUGAAAGGUGCGACCUGAGGAACCACGGGGGUUGAGGACGUCCAGCUCCGCAGUGCAACUCGGCAUGAUUCACGUCAUCGAUAGCCCCCAUGUAGCAGCCCAUGCAUGUCCCGCAAUGAGCCAGGACAGGGAAGUUGUUGGACACUCCCGUCUUCGUCGGCCAUCACGCUAUGAGUGGCUAUGGCCAUUGGUCACCGUUGGUCGUCGGCCGUUCUUCUUCGCCACCUCCUGAAGGUCAGCUUCUGGUACACGGGAAUGAAACACCAGACGAAGCAAAAUUGAGUGAUCACGGGGAUGGAACACCCACAGCCGUAACUACAACUCUCCCUGUCUUCUCAAAGAUUGAGUUUGUUUGUGCUGUUACGUCUCUCUCUACCAAUUGGUGUGAUUAAAUUUAUAUUUUGAUCGUUGGAUCCUCGUUUUUUAAAUCUAGCAUGCACAAAGUUUAGAAAAGAGGCCCGAACGAAUUGGGUGCACACUACCUUUUUGUUCUUAUGCUUAGUAAACCUUGUUCAGUUUGCAUUGGAGAACUUGUACUAUUCCUGUUGCUCUCAAGCUAUAUGUUUAUAUGCCUAAAAAUAACUUAAACAAUCAUUUUUGAUA